GCGCUGCAGAUGAAGGAACUGCAGAGGAGGAUGCUGCUGCUUUAAUCAAGGAAAGUGGAACUGAGAAGCCAAUAGUAGCAUUCAUUGCCGGUCUUACAGCUCCACCCGGUCGUCGUAUGGGUCAUGCUGGAGCUAUUGUGUCAGGAGGCC
Long non-coding RNA from Papaver somniferum (opium poppy), 150 nucleotides. RefSeq lists it as uncharacterized. Lineage: Eukaryota; Viridiplantae; Streptophyta; Magnoliopsida; Ranunculales; Papaveraceae. The record is from RefSeq and is a predicted model, not a curated record. The transcript is spliced from 3 exons.